CUUUGCUGGCGACCGCGCACGGGUGAGUAACACGUAUCCAACCUGCCUUUACUCGGGGAUAGCCUUUCGAAAGAAAGAUUAAUACCCGAUAGCAUAAUGAUUCCGCAUGGUUUCAUUAUUAAAGGAUUCCGGUAAAGGAUGGGGAUGCGUUCCAUUAGGUUGUUGGUGAGGUAACGGCUCACCAAGCCUUCGAUGGAUAGGGGUUCUGAGAGGAAGGUCCCCCACAUUGGAACUGAGACACGGUCCAA
This 248-nucleotide ribosomal RNA is filed under the name uncultured bacterium. RNAcentral describes it as "partial 16S ribosomal RNA". It matches the Rfam family "Bacterial small subunit ribosomal RNA", at positions 84 to 334 of the family's 1533-position model. The record is from RNAcentral.